CCUUCUUGUCUUAGGGCAAUUCGACAAGUGACCAAGUGUUGUUGACUUUGAUUGACUUCAACUCUUUGUUCAUUGCUUUCAUCCACUUCAAAUCUUUCAAUGCCUCAACUGUAUUGACUGGUUCGACAUCUGCGUAGAAAGCAUAAUGUACUAGUUCAUCUUCUUCAUUGACCACAUCAUCUGAUGUAAUCACACAUUAUUGAAUCUGUAGCGGUAAAUUCAUG
This 224-nucleotide long non-coding RNA is filed under the name Lathyrus oleraceus (garden pea). Its description in RNAcentral is "Pisum sativum (pea) long non-coding RNA (PSAT_LNC004242)". Lineage: Eukaryota; Viridiplantae; Streptophyta; Magnoliopsida; Fabales; Fabaceae. The record is from RNAcentral.